AGAGGCUCUGGGUCACCUCCCACCCGUGUCUAUCGUACCUUGUUGCUUCGGCGGGCCCGCCGUUUCGACGGCCGCCGGGGAGGCCUUGCGCCCCCGGGCCCGCGCCCGCCGAAGACCCCAACAUGAACGCUGUUCUGAAAGUAUGCAGUCUGAGUUGAUUAUCGUAAUCAGUUAAAACUUUCAACAACGGAUCUCUUGGUUCCGGCAUCGAUGAAGAACGCAGCGAAAUGCGAUAAGUAAUGUGAAUUGCAGAAUUCAGUGAAUCAUCGAGUCUUUGAACGCACAUUGCGCCCCCUGGUAUUCCGGGGGGCAUGCCUGUCCGAGCGUCAUUGCUGCCCUCAAGCACGGCUUGUGUGUUGGGCCCCCGUCCCCCUCUCCCGGGGGACGGGCCCGAAAGGCAGCGGCGGCACCGCGUCCGGUCCUCGAGCGUAUGGGGCUUUGUCACCUGCUCUGUAGGCCCGGCCGGCGCCAGCCGACACCCAACUUUAUUUUUCUAAGGUUGACCUCGGAUCAGGUAGGGAUACCCGCUGAACUUAAGCAUAUCAAAAGGCCGGAGGAA
RNAcentral lists this ribosomal RNA (559 nucleotides) under Aspergillus fumigatus. RNAcentral describes it as "eukaryotic LSU rRNA". The stretch from base 176 to 329 matches the Rfam family "5.8S ribosomal RNA". The record is from RNAcentral. Lineage: Eukaryota; Fungi; Ascomycota; Eurotiomycetes; Eurotiales; Aspergillaceae.